Molecule: ribosomal RNA, 331 nt
Filed under: uncultured bacterium
Lineage: Bacteria
Description: bacterial SSU rRNA
Rfam family: Bacterial small subunit ribosomal RNA
Source: RNAcentral
CGCGUAGGCUGUGCUGCAAGUCAGGCGUGAAAGGCCCGGGCUCAACCUGGGAACUGCGCAUGAUACUGCGGCGCUUGAAGGCGGGAGAGGAUGGCGGAAUUCCCAGUGUAGAGGUGAAAUUCGUAGAUAUUGGGAAGAACACCGGUGGCGAAGGCGGCCAUCUGGCCCGCAAUUGACGCUGAGGCGCGAAAGCGUGGGGAGCAAACAGGAUUAGAUACCCUGGUAGUCCACGCCGUAAACGAUGAGUGCUAGACGUCGGGGAGCUUGCUCUUCGGUGUCGCCGCUAACGCAUUAAGCACUCCGCCUGGGGAGUACGGUCGCAAGAUUAAAA